GACGAACGCUGGCGGCGUGCUUAACACAUGCAAGUCGAACGAAGAGCGAUGGAAGCUUGCUUCUAUCAAUCUUAGUGGCGAACGGGUGAGUAACGCGUAAUCAACCUGCCCUUCAGAGGGGGACAACAGUUGGAAACGACUGCUAAUACCGCAUACGAUCUAACCUCGGCAUCGAGGAUAGAUGAAAGGUGGCCUCUACAUGUAAGCUAUCACUGAAGGAGGGGAUUGCGUCUGAUUAGCUAGUUGGAGGGGUAACGGCCCACCAAGGCGAUGAUCAGUAGCCGGUCUGAGAGGAUGAACGGCCACAUUGGGACUGAGACACGGCCCAGACUCCUACGGGAGGCAGCAGUGGGGAAUCUUCCGCAAUGGACGAAAGUCUGACGGAGCAACGCCGCGUGAGUGAUGACGGCCUUCGGGUUGUAAAGCUCUGUUAAUCGGGACGAAAGGCCUUCUUGCGAAUAGUUAGAAGGAUG
RNAcentral lists this ribosomal RNA (473 nucleotides) under Veillonella parvula. RNAcentral's name for it is "bacterial SSU rRNA". It matches the Rfam family "Bacterial small subunit ribosomal RNA", at positions 28 to 471 of the family's 1533-position model. The record is from RNAcentral. Lineage: Bacteria; Bacillati; Bacillota; Negativicutes; Veillonellales; Veillonellaceae.